Molecule: transfer RNA, 69 nt
Filed under: Podarcis lilfordi (Lilford's wall lizard)
Lineage: Eukaryota; Metazoa; Chordata; Lepidosauria; Squamata; Lacertidae
Description: tRNA.Lys
Rfam family: tRNA
About the family: Transfer RNA (tRNA) molecules are approximately 80 nucleotides in length. Their secondary structure includes four short double-helical elements and three loops (D, anti-codon, and T loops). Further hydrogen bonds mediate the characteristic L-shaped molecular structure. tRNAs have two regions of fundamental functional importance: the anti-codon, which is responsible for specific mRNA codon recognition, and the 3' end, to which the tRNAs corresponding amino acid is attached (by aminoacyl-tRNA synthetases). tRNAs cope with the degeneracy of the genetic code in two manners: having more than one tRNA (with a specific anti-codon) for a particular amino acid; and 'wobble' base-pairing, i.e. permitting non-standard base-pairing at the 3rd anti-codon position.
Source: RNAcentral
GCCAAGCUAACUUGGUAGAGCAUGAGACUCUUAAUCUUAGGGUUGUGGGUUCGAGCCCCACGUUGGGCA